This 57-nucleotide transfer RNA is filed under the name Dipodomys ordii (Ord's kangaroo rat). It matches the Rfam family "tRNA", at positions 8 to 63 of the family's 71-position model. Rfam says of the family: Transfer RNA (tRNA) molecules are approximately 80 nucleotides in length. Lineage: Eukaryota; Metazoa; Chordata; Mammalia; Rodentia; Heteromyidae. The record is from Rfam by way of RNAcentral.
UGGCUCAGUGGUAGAGUGCUUGCCUUGCAUGCCUGAGGCCCUGGGUUCGAUUCCCAG